AAAAAUACUUUUGAAUACUCUGAGUACUCAAAACUUCCUUGUGCCUCAGUUCACCACUCUUGUUGUUGAAAGCUUUUUAUUUAUAAUAAAGUUAUUUUGGGGUCCUUUGGAUGGAAACAGAUAAUACAUAGCAAAUACACUCAUGAUUUGCUUUAGCACAUUAGAUAGUAGAAGUAGAAGACAAGAUCCAUUUUUGUCUUUCAGGUGAGCGUGUAGGAGCCUUCACUAUGGUCUGCAAAGAUGCGGAUGAAGCCAAAAGGGUAGAGUCACAGUUGAAGAUCUUGAUCCGUCCCAUGUAUUCCAACCCUCCCCUCAAUGGGGCCCGGAUUGCUGCUGCCAUUCUGAACACCCCAGAUUUGCGAAAACAAUGGCUGCAAGAAGUGAAAGGCAUGGCCGACCGCAUCAUUGGCAUGCGGACUCAACUGGUCUCCAACCUCAAGAAGGAGGGUUCCACCCACAACUGGCAACACAUCACCGACCAAAUUGGCAUGUUCUGUUUCACAGGGCUAAAGCCUGAACAGGUGAGUGAUUCUGAUUUCUCUGCAGCAGACCAACUGAUCAGUCUUUGCAAACCCGAAGGGUUCUUUUUUUUUCUUUUUUCUUUUUUAUUUAAUGUUUUCGGGUUUUUUGUUUUGUUUUGUUUUUGUUUUUGUUUUGAGACGGUCUCGCUCUGAAACCCAGGCUGGAGUGCAGUGGUACAAUCUCAGCUCACUGCAACCUCCACCUCCCAGGGCUUAAGUGAUCCUCCUGCCUCAGCCUCCCGAGCAGCUGGGACUACAAGUGAGUGCCACCACACCUGGCUAAUUUUUGUAUUUUUUGUAGAGACGUAGUUUCGCCAUGUUGCCUGGGCUUGUCUUAAACUCCUGGA
This 868-nucleotide small RNA is filed under the name Pongo abelii (Sumatran orangutan). Its description in RNAcentral is "retained intron". Lineage: Eukaryota; Metazoa; Chordata; Mammalia; Primates; Hominidae. The record is from RNAcentral.